Molecule: non-coding RNA, 238 nt
Filed under: Bacteroides stercoris
Lineage: Bacteria; Pseudomonadati; Bacteroidota; Bacteroidia; Bacteroidales; Bacteroidaceae
Description: Bacterial large subunit ribosomal RNA
Rfam family: Bacterial large subunit ribosomal RNA
Source: Rfam by way of RNAcentral
CGCGGACUGACGGAAUAGUCCGUUAAAGGGUGUAGAUGUUGAUUCCUGCAGGCAAAUCCGCAGGAAGAGUCGAACCUGACAGUAUGGAGCGUCCUUCGGGACAAUCCAAUAGUGCACGUAAGCAUACUCCCGAGAAAAUCCGCUAAACUUAAUCCUUGUGGUACCCGUACCGCAAACGGACACACGUAGUCGGGUUGAAUAUACUAAGGCGCUUGAGUGAUUCACGGUUAAGGAACUA